Molecule: ribosomal RNA, 253 nt
Filed under: uncultured bacterium
Lineage: Bacteria
Description: partial 16S ribosomal RNA
Rfam family: Bacterial small subunit ribosomal RNA
Source: RNAcentral
UACAGAGGGUGCGAGCGUUGUCCGGAAUCACUGGGCGUAAAGGGCGCGUAGGCGGCGCGGUAAGCGUGCGGUGAAAGCCCGGGGCUCAACCCCGGGUCGGCCGUGCGGACUGCCGGGCUGGAGCACUGUAGAGGCAGGUGGAAUUCCGGGUGUAGCGGUGGAAUGCGCAGAUAUCAGGAGGAACACCGGUGGCGAAGGCGGGUCUCUGGGCAGUAACUGACGCUGAGGAGCGAAAGCGUGGGGAGCGAACAGG